GAUGAAGAACGUAGUGAAAUGCGAUAACUAAUGUGAAUUGCAGAAUUCAGCGAAUCAUCGAGUCUUUGAACGCACAUUGCGCCCCCUGGUAUUCCGGGGGGCAUGCCUGUCCGAGCGUCAUUGCUGCCCUCAAGCACGGCUUGUGUGUUGGGCUCCGUCCCCCCGGGGACGGGCCCGAAAGGCAGCGGCGGCACCGAGUCCGGUCCUCGAGCGUAUGGGGCUUUGUCACCCGCUCUGUAGGCCCGGCCGGCGCCAGCCGAUAACCCAUCAUCCUUUUCAGGUUGACCUCGGAUCAGGUAGGGAUACCCGCUGAACUUAAGCAUAUCAAUAAGCGGAGGA
RNAcentral lists this unclassified non-coding RNA (339 nucleotides) under soil metagenome. RNAcentral describes it as "partial contains 5.8S ribosomal RNA, internal transcribed spacer 2, and large subunit ribosomal RNA". The stretch from base 1 to 120 matches the Rfam family "5.8S ribosomal RNA", at positions 35 to 154 of the family's 154-position model. The record is from RNAcentral.